Molecule: ribosomal RNA, 301 nt
Filed under: uncultured bacterium
Lineage: Bacteria
Description: bacterial SSU rRNA
Rfam family: Bacterial small subunit ribosomal RNA
Source: RNAcentral
GACGAACGCUGGCGGCGUGCCUAACACAUGCAAGUUGAGCGACGAACCAGGGCUUGCCCUGGGGCAAAGCAGCGAACGGGUGAGUAACACGUGGGUAACGUGCCCCGAUAACCGGGACAACCCGAGGAAACUCGGGCUAAUACCGGAUGUGCUCGCCGGACAUCAGUCCGGCGCGUAAAGGAAGCUUCGGCCUCCGUAUCGGGAGCGGCCCGCGGCCCAUUAGCUAGUUGGUGAGGUAACGGCUCACCAAGGCCGCGAUGGGUAGCUGGUCUGAGAGGACGAUCAGCCACACGUGGGACUG